This 348-nucleotide long non-coding RNA is filed under the name Ananas comosus (pineapple). Its description in RNAcentral is "long non-coding RNA (ACOM_LNC024380)". The record is from RNAcentral. Lineage: Eukaryota; Viridiplantae; Streptophyta; Magnoliopsida; Poales; Bromeliaceae.
CCCAAGCCCAGCCCAGUUCCACCCCUACCAAGGGGUUGGUGCUUUUGAGUUUUUAGCCAUUGGAUGGAGAGAUGUAGGGUUGAGAUGAUGGUGGUAGAUGGUGGUAGGUAAAAUAAUGUUUGGUCCAAAGGCUAUUAGUAAUUAAGGAGUAGAUCCAAUGGCUAGAAACUUAGAAACACAAAGUGGUUGGUGCUUCUAAAAGUAUUAUAGCUCAAAUAAAUAAAUAUAUAUAUAUAUAUAUAUAUAUAUAUAUAUAUAAAAGCUUCUUAAAUUUUAUAAAAAAAAUUACCAAAUAUAUAUUAAAAAACUUACAAACUCAAAAAAAAUAAUAUUACAAAUGAAUUAGAA